UGAUGGACCGACUGAUGGGAGGGACGGGAGGUGAGCAAGAUGGCGCAGAUGCAGGGCACCAGGAGGAAAGUCUGUUACUACUACAACGGGGAUGUUGGAAAUUAUUAUUAUGGACAAGGCCACCCAAUGAAGCCUCACCAAAUCUGCAUGACUCACAAUUUGCUACUUAACUAUGGUCUCUACAGAAAAAUGGAAAUCUAUCGCCCUCACAAAGCCAAUGCUGAGGAAAUGACCAAGUACCACAGUGAUGACUACAUUAAAUUCUUGUACUUCAUCCGCCCAGAUAACAUGUCUGAAUACAGCAAGCAGAUGCAGAGAUUCAACGUUGGUGAGGACUGCCCAGUAUUUGAUGGCCUGUUUGAGUUCUGACAGUUGUCUACUGGUGGCUCUGUGGCAAGUGCUGUGGAACUUAAUAAGCAGCAGACGGACAUCGCUGUGAAUUGGGCUGGGGGCCUGCACCAUGCAAAGAAGUCCGAGGCAUCUGGCUUCUGUUAUGUCAAUGAUAUCGUCUUGACCAUCCUGGAACUGCUAAAGUACCACAGACUGGGUCAUGACUGUGUCCUUUCAUAAAUAUGGAGAGUACUUCCCAGGAACUGGGGAUCUAUGGGAUAUUGGGGCUGGCAAAGGCAAGUAUUAUGCUGUUAACUACCCACUCCGAGAUGGGAUUGAUGACGAGUCCUAUGAGGCCAUUUUCAAGCCGGUAAUGUCCAAAGUAAUGGAGAUGUUCCAGCCCAGUGCAGUGGUUUUACAGUGUGGCUCAGACUCCCCGUCUGGGGAUCGGUUAGGUUGCUUCAAUCUGACCAUCAAAGGGCAUGCCAAGUGCGUGGAAUUUGUCAAGAGCUUCAACCUGCCUAUGUUGAUGCUGAGAGGAGGUGGUUACACCAUUCGUAAUGUUGCCCGAUGCUGGACAUAUGAAACAGCUGUGGCCCUGGACAGAGAGAUCCCUAAUGACCUUCCAUACAAUGACUACUUUGAAUACUUUGGUCCAGACUUCAAGCUUCACAUCAGCCCCUCCAAAAUGACUAACCAGAAUACUAAUGAGUAUUUGGAGAAGAUCAAACAGCGACUGUUUGAGAACCUGAGGAUGCUGCCCCAUGUGCCAGGGGUUCAGAUGCAGGCAAUUCCUGAGGAUGCCAUCCCAGAGGAAAGUGGUGAUGAGGAUGAAGAAGACCCUGACAAACGCAUCUCCAUCUGUUCCUCUGACAAACGAAUUGCCUGUGAGGAAGAGUUCUCUGAUUCUGAUGAGGAAGGAGAGGGUGGCCGAAAGAACUCUUCCAACUUCAAAAAAGCCAAGAGAGUCAAAACAGAAGAUGAAAAAGAGAAAGAUCCGGAAGAGAAGAAAGAAGUUACAGAAGAGGAGAAAACCAAGGAGGAGAAGCCAGAAGCCAAAGGGUCAAGGAAGAGGUCAAGUUGGCCUGAGCAGACCUCUCCAGCUCUGGUUUCUUGUCAAGUCUCCCACCUUUGUCCAAUACCCCCUCAGAUUUUAUAUUUUCUAUUUAUCUUUGUAUUUAUAU
This is an RNA transcript of Nycticebus coucang (slow loris), 1514 nucleotides long. It is a transcript of the gene named histone deacetylase 1-like, with no coding region annotated. The record is from RefSeq and is a predicted model, not a curated record. NCBI's taxonomy places the organism in Eukaryota, Metazoa, Chordata, Mammalia, Primates, Lorisidae. The transcript has a single exon.